UGCUCAUCUGACUGCCAGGGAACACGAUA
This 29-nucleotide non-coding RNA is filed under the name Mus musculus (house mouse). The record is from RNAcentral. Lineage: Eukaryota; Metazoa; Chordata; Mammalia; Rodentia; Muridae.